UGAUUUUUCUUCUCCCUUUUGUGUUUCAUUACCAUAAAAUGAACCGAUCACAGAGCUUUGUCAUUUCUUAAAAAUGUAAAUGCAGAAAUAAAAUCUUUCCAGGAUAUCAGAUGCAGGCUGCCCUCCACCAUUACAAAAUGUUAGGCUCAUUUUCAUAGAAGCCGUGGAAAUUGAAGGCAUUAGAUCGCAAAAUGAAAUGUCUUCAAAGGCUAUUCCUGCACGGAGGCCACUGACAAAUUUUAUGGCCUUGGAUCCUGAAAUAAACACCAUUCAGCGAAUGUUUGUACAGUCAGGCCAUUAAGGGCAAUGAUUUGUAUUUCCUCAAGAGAUCCCUUAAACUGCAGUGCCCGGUGUUCGCAGCAGCUUGGCAGGGGUUGUUAUUUUUUUUUUAAAUCCAGCAGUUCACUGGCCAAUAAAGCGCGCAUGGGGUACAAAGCUUCUCUAGCAAGUGUGAAAACAAAGAGGUGUGACUGUUGGGCUUUGCAGCAGCCCAGGGUCAUCUGUCACAUAUGUAAAGUGCUUUGGAUGCUAAUCUGUUUUGUUUAGCUGAAGUAACUUUUUUCAUGGAUGAAGGCGCUGCUGUAAUCUACUUUAUGCUGCUACUAAUGCCACCUCACAGGCCGAGUAAGGAAGUGUAAAGAAAAUGGGUUUAUUCUGAAACAUGACGCUAGUCCAACUUCAGCAGGCCAUUGAACUUUCUUGGCUUUGAGUCUUCUUGCUGCCACACAUCUGAGAAGACACAAGCUAUCACGUGACAAGAGAGGAAGAGCCGGUUAAAAGAACAUCCUUCAGGAGAGCCACUGAGAGACAAUCUGUAAAUCUGGACACAUGAAGAGCUUAAUCCAUUCUUGAGAACAGAGGUCUUCAUCCUUUAAAGGUUAAAGUUCAUGAGUGUGACAGAAGUCAGUGUGAAUGUGCAUGUAUACUUCAGUGAAGACCUAGCUUCUGACCUCUCAGUGCGCAGGGCUGUGGCCACAGCCUUCUAUAGUGUAUAAGGUAAAGGUCAGAAACACACAGAUUCAGCUCGGUGUAUGAAAGGAGAGACUGACCGAAGCACAGCCAUACAGCAAAUUAGAAUCCUCCAUCAACUCCAAUUGCUCAAAGCCUACCUGGAAAUCAGACAUCUUUACAGAGUUGUGAGUCUAUGAGAAGAGAUGCCAUGUGACCAGUCACUUCACAUUUCUCCUAACAGCACUUUCAGGACAUUAAUAGACUGAAUCCAUCCUUAAACCAUGAGGCAGCUUCUCAAGUUGCUUUGCUAGGCGUCCCAUAACAGCAAUGAAAGCUAACCAACACUAAGAGUGAGCUCCUAAGGAAAAAUGUUAAAGACCCUUUGGAAACGGACAAAGAGGAUUCACAAAUCGUUUGUGAAACAUUUGGAUGACAAAUGCUUGGUCUGAACAAAGAGCUCAUCUAAGUGCACUAUCAAGGUGAACUAUCAGAGGCAGAGGGCAAGAGCAUAUGAUGAUAACAUCCACCCAAGGACCAGGCUUUGAAGCCUCUGGUUUCAUUUCGGCAUAGCCUUUCCUUUUCAUGCCAGUUCAGCUCCAACAUGAAAGAGGACACAGUCCCUGAAGCCAAUUUCGGUCGCCUCGUUCAGUGCUCACUACUUCAUGCUUCUGGAAAGUGUGUGAUCUUUUUCAUCAUCUCUAAGACCUCCUAGAUGUGUGACCUUUUCACUGCUAUGAUCUCUCCAUAUUCCGCUGCAGAAAAUUGCUCUUGACCUGUUAGAGCUACUGCUUCUUCAGUUUCUUCCCUCUCUUUUCCUUAGGAACCUCACAUACCCAGGCUCUAAGUCAGUGCCAAUGAUAAAAUAUUCAUUUAUGUAUAUGUGUACUAGAGUGGUAUGAGAAUUGUGAAUAGGACAAGUUACAAACAUGCAGCAUAAUAAAAGGAUAAGAUUCCCUCUA
Long non-coding RNA from Rattus norvegicus (Norway rat), 1910 nucleotides. RefSeq lists it as uncharacterized. NCBI's taxonomy places the organism in Eukaryota, Metazoa, Chordata, Mammalia, Rodentia, Muridae. The record is from RefSeq and is a predicted model, not a curated record.